GGGCACAUGGUGUAGUUGGUUAUCACGCUCGCUUAGCAAUCAGUUAAAUUAUGUAAUAUUAUUACGUAAUAUGCGAGAGGUGUUGGGUUCAAUUCCCAAUGUGUCCA
Molecule: non-coding RNA, 107 nt
Organism: Mycena sp. CBHHK59/15
Lineage: Eukaryota; Fungi; Basidiomycota; Agaricomycetes; Agaricales; Mycenaceae
Source: the annotation of a GenBank genome assembly